RNAcentral lists this ribosomal RNA (619 nucleotides) under Salmonella enterica. Its description in RNAcentral is "bacterial SSU rRNA". It matches the Rfam family "Bacterial small subunit ribosomal RNA", at positions 1 to 609 of the family's 1533-position model. Lineage: Bacteria; Pseudomonadati; Pseudomonadota; Gammaproteobacteria; Enterobacterales; Enterobacteriaceae. The record is from RNAcentral.
AAAUUGAAGAGUUUGAUCAUGGCUCAGAUUGAACGCUGGCGGCAGGCCUAACACAUGCAAGUCGAACGGUAACAGGAAGCAGCUUGCUGCUUCGCUGACGAGUGGCGGACGGGUGAGUAAUGUCUGGGAAACUGCCUGAUGGAGGGGGAUAACUACUGGAAACGGUGGCUAAUACCGCAUAACGUCGCAAGACCAAAGAGGGGGACCUUCGGGCCUCUUGCCAUCAGAUGUGCCCAGAUGGGAUUAGCUAGUUGGUGAGGUAAUGGCUCACCAAGGCGACGAUCCCUAGCUGGUCUGAGAGGAUGACCAGCCACACUGGAACUGAGACACGGUCCAGACUCCUACGGGAGGCAGCAGUGGGGAAUAUUGCACAAUGGGCGCAAGCCUGAUGCAGCCAUGCCGCGUGUAUGAAGAAGGCCUUCGGGUUGUAAAGUACUUUCAGCGGGGAGGAAGGUGUUGUGGUUAAUAACCGCAGCAAUUGACGUUACCCGCAGAAGAAGCACCGGCUAACUCCGUGCCAGCAGCCGCGGUAAUACGGAGGGUGCAAGCGUUAAUCGGAAUUACUGGGCGUAAAGCGCACGCAGGCGGUCUGUCAAGUCGGAUGUGAAAUCCCCGGGCU